RNAcentral lists this transfer RNA (66 nucleotides) under Pseudotetracha mendacia. RNAcentral's name for it is "tRNA-Arg". Lineage: Eukaryota; Metazoa; Arthropoda; Insecta; Coleoptera; Carabidae. The record is from RNAcentral.
AAAUAAGAAGUAAAUUAUUACAUUUAGUUUCGACCUAAAAUCCUGGUGACAUCUCACCCUUAUUUA